CGUGCCGGUAGAUGAGGUUGCCGAACCGGUCGGCCUGGUAUGCGGAGAUGAUGGCGAAGUCGGGGCGGAGCGCCGUUUCGAGAACGUGCGGCACGCC
RNAcentral lists this transfer RNA (97 nucleotides) under Sphaerisporangium siamense. RNAcentral describes it as "tRNA-Thr". Lineage: Bacteria; Bacillati; Actinomycetota; Actinomycetes; Streptosporangiales; Streptosporangiaceae. The record is from RNAcentral.